CAUUAGGAAGACAUCCCUCCCAAAAUAACUCGGCCCUCCCCCAAAGCACAGAGUUGAGCAGCCUACCUUUGUUCUGGAGUUGCAGAUAAUAACAGGCAAGCCUCAAGACCAUGAGGAUUUGGAAAAGAUCAGGAGAGUUGAAGAAAAAGAAGAAGGAAAAGAAAUACUCCAAGUAGAGAAGAAUUGGAAGAAACAACAGGAAAACCCUUCUAAUGAACUGUAGUGGCUGCCACAGGAUCGGGGGUGUCUUCACCAGUGUUUACACCAGCCAUGCUGCCAGUAAACUGGGUCUUCGGGGACAUCAGCUAUCCUGGAGAAAGAGCUCUGCUCUACCAACUCUAAUCACCCAAGCCAUCUGGAAAAAGAGUGACAUUAUGGAAGAUUUCUUACACAGUGAACACACGCUAAUUGACAUAUCUUAAGUCCUGGAGAAAAAUCACUUCCUUAAGGGAACUUGAGUAAUCAACGUGUAAUUAGCCAAUCCUCCUGGCAUGGAAGAUGGCUCCCUUGUCACUUGAGAACUUAUCACUAAAGAAAAUUAUUCUUAGUCUUUAGAGGCUCCCUGAAGAAAAACACCACCCCUUCACACCUACUGUGUGUGAAUUCUGUGCAAGGCUUUUACUCAAGUGAUUUGCUUAUACAACCUCAUCUAGUCUUCCAACAACUCUGUGGAGGAGGUACUAUAAUUUAUCCAAAUUUCUGAGGAGAAGAAACAGAAGCAAAGAGAGGUAAAACAGAAUGUCCCAGGCCAAGAGCUGUUAAUGGAAAACCUGGUCGCACAGUGGGUCAAUGGUUAUAUGCAUAGCCCCGGCUAUAAAACGUGGAUAACUGCAACCAAGUGAUAAACAUUUCAUGUUCUAAGACAUAAUGGAAGAAGCCUGGGCUCAGAGCACAGGACACCCAGUCACAUGAGCUGUGCCUGGUAACCGAAGACAGGAUUCUGUGUCUCAUUCUCAAGAGCUAUGGAUGCUCACAUUCAGGUGACAGUCACCAUCACAAGUAGGCACAGAUGUCGCUUUAGCGUUGCCUGUCUCCGCACCCUGGAGGAUGGAAUGGGGGCAAUGCCUGUAGCACCUCGUGCUUGCUGGGUUCCCCCGUGUUUCAACACUAAAGGAACCAAAGAGGUAAAUACACUUCCAGGGAAGUUGUAAAAAAAAAAAAGAAAAAAGAAAGGAAGCACGGGUCAGAAAAAAAAAUAGCUUCGAAAUACUGGAAGGCAAACUGGCGAAAUGGAUAGGUGCAGCACACCUACGUGCGUGGGGGAGAGGGGAAGCAAGGCGGCAUGCAGCUUAGGGUAGUGAAGAACCAUCAGCCAGCCUGGCUAUACACUUACUGGCUGUGUGACCCUGAGUAACUAGCUCGACUUCUCUGAGCCUGAAGUUUCCCAUCCAUAAUGUGGAAAUGAGAGAAGGAUCUAACAUUUUGGGUUGCAAUGGAAGUCCAAUAAAAUGGUACAUGUCAAAGUUCUCACCUAGUACACAGUCAGUGCUCACUAACAGUUACCUAUCCUCCCCCUCCACUUGCUCCUCAUCAGUGCUGACUGAUGAUGAAUUGCAGAAUUACUGCACAGGCCCUAGCCUAGUGCUCGGCAUGCACUAGGUACUCAGUAAGUGCUCGUUCCUUGGUUUUCCCAACUCUCUUCCCGCCACAAAUAACUCAAAGAUUUAAUUCUGAUAUGAUGCACCUAUCGCAAUUUUUAAA
Long non-coding RNA from Neofelis nebulosa (Clouded leopard), 1701 nucleotides. RefSeq lists it as uncharacterized. Lineage: Eukaryota; Metazoa; Chordata; Mammalia; Carnivora; Felidae. The record is from RefSeq and is a predicted model, not a curated record. The transcript is spliced from 3 exons.